GGGCAUUUAGCGCAGUGGUAGCGCGUAUGCUUUGCAUCAAAUUCUGAAGCACUCUUGUAUAAGGCCCGGGGUUCAAUCCCCCGAAUGUCCA
This is a non-coding RNA of Leucogyrophana mollusca, 91 nucleotides long. The record is from the annotation of a GenBank genome assembly. NCBI's taxonomy places the organism in Eukaryota, Fungi, Basidiomycota, Agaricomycetes, Boletales.